Molecule: ribosomal RNA, 545 nt
Filed under: uncultured Paracoccaceae bacterium
Lineage: Bacteria; Pseudomonadati; Pseudomonadota; Alphaproteobacteria; Rhodobacterales; Paracoccaceae
Description: bacterial SSU rRNA
Rfam family: Bacterial small subunit ribosomal RNA
Source: RNAcentral
CUACGGGAGGCAGCAGUGGGGAAUCUUAGACAAUGGGCGCAAGCCUGAUCUAGCCAUGCCGCGUGAGUGAUGAAGGCCUUAGGGUCGUAAAGCUCUUUCGCCAGGGAUGAUAAUGACAGUACCUGGUAAAGAAACCCCGGCUAACUCCGUGCCAGCAGCCGCGGUAAUACGGAGGGGGUUAGCGUUGUUCGGAAUUACUGGGCGUAAAGCGNACGUAGGCGGAUUAGUCAGUCAGAGGUGAAAUCCCAGGGCUCAACCCUGGAACUGCCUUUGAUACUGCUAGUCUUGAGUUCGAGAGAGGUGAGUGGAAUUCCGAGUGUAGAGGUGAAAUUCGUAGAUAUUCGGAGGAACACCAGUGGCGAAGGCGGCUCACUGGCUCGAUACUGACGCUGAGGUGCGAAAGUGUGGGGAGCAAACAGGAUUAGAUACCCUGGUAGUCCACACCGUAAACGAUGAAUGCCAGUCGUCGGGUAGCAUGCUGUUCGGUGACACACCUAACGGAUUAAGCAUUCCGCCUGGGGAGUACGGUCGCAAGAUUAAAACUC